GCCGGGAUAGCUCAUUUGGUAAAGCAGAGGAC
RNAcentral lists this transfer RNA (32 nucleotides) under Draba tomentosa. RNAcentral describes it as "partial tRNA-Phe". The record is from RNAcentral. Lineage: Eukaryota; Viridiplantae; Streptophyta; Magnoliopsida; Brassicales; Brassicaceae.